Molecule: ribosomal RNA, 463 nt
Filed under: Vreelandella stevensii
Lineage: Bacteria; Pseudomonadati; Pseudomonadota; Gammaproteobacteria; Oceanospirillales; Halomonadaceae
Description: partial 16S ribosomal RNA
Rfam family: Bacterial small subunit ribosomal RNA
Source: RNAcentral
CUCGGGAGGCUGCAGUGGGGAAUAUUGGACAAUGGGCGAAAGCCUGAUCCAGCCAUGCCGCGUGUGUGAAGAAGGCCUUCGGGUUGUAAGGCACUUUCAGUGGGGAAGAAAGCCUUGGGGCUAAUACCCUCGAGGAAGGACAUCACCCACAGAAGAAGCACCGGCUAACUCCGUGCCAGCAGCCGCGGUAAUACGGAGGGUGCGAGCGUUAAUCGGAAUUACUGGGCGUAAAGCGCGCGUAGGCGGUCUGAUAAGCCGGUUGUGAAAGCCCCGGGCUCAACCUGGGAACGGCAUCCGGAACUGUCAGGCUAGAGUGCAGGAGAGGAAGGUAGAAUUCCCGGUGUAGCGGUGAAAUGCGUAGAGAUCGGGAGGAAUACCAGUGGCGAAGGCGGCCUUCUGGACUGACACUGACGCUGAGGUGCGAAAGCGUGGGUAGCAAACAGGAUUAGAUACCCCGGUAGUC